RNAcentral lists this ribosomal RNA (253 nucleotides) under uncultured bacterium. Its description in RNAcentral is "partial 16S ribosomal RNA". It matches the Rfam family "Bacterial small subunit ribosomal RNA", at positions 524 to 776 of the family's 1533-position model. The record is from RNAcentral.
UACGUAGGGAGCGAGCGUUGUCCGGAUUCAUUGGGCGUAAAGAGCUCGUAGGCGGCUCAGUAAGUCGGAUGUGAAAUCCCCAGGCUUAACCUGGGAACUGCAUCCGAUACUGGAUGGCUUGAAUCCGGGAGAGGGAUGCAGAAUUCCAGGUGUAGCGGUGAAAUGCGUAGAUAUCUGGAGGAAUACCGGUGGCGAAAGCGGCUUACUGGACCAUAACUGACGCUGAGGCACGAAAGCUAGGGGAGCAAACAGG